UACCCUACGGGCUGAAAGCAGCUUCGGAAC
Molecule: non-coding RNA, 30 nt
Filed under: Mus musculus (house mouse)
Lineage: Eukaryota; Metazoa; Chordata; Mammalia; Rodentia; Muridae
Source: RNAcentral